CAACCGGUCCUUUUCAGGACCACAAUACGCAUCUGUCGAAAAGAAU
Molecule: non-coding RNA, 46 nt
Organism: Anopheles minimus
Lineage: Eukaryota; Metazoa; Arthropoda; Insecta; Diptera; Culicidae
Source: Rfam